Molecule: ribosomal RNA, 253 nt
Filed under: uncultured bacterium
Lineage: Bacteria
Description: partial 16S ribosomal RNA
Rfam family: Bacterial small subunit ribosomal RNA
Source: RNAcentral
UACGGAAGGUGCAAGCGUUGUUCGGAAUGACUGGGCGUAAAGCGCACGUAGGCGGGUUUGUAAGUCGGAUGUGAAAUCCCCAAGCUUAACUUGGGAACUGCAUUCGAUACUGUGAAUCUUGAAUGCUUGAGAGGUUGGUGGAAUUCCUGGUGUAGGAGUGAAAUCCGUAGAUAUCAGGAGGAAUAUCGGAGGCGAAGGCGGCCAACUGGCGAUGCAUUGACGCUGAGGUGCGAAAGCGUGGGGAGCAAACAGG